UAGCUCAGUGGUAGAGCAUUUGCCUUGCAUGCAUGAGGCCCUGGGUUCAAUUCCUCAG
RNAcentral lists this transfer RNA (58 nucleotides) under Dipodomys ordii (Ord's kangaroo rat). It matches the Rfam family "tRNA", at positions 8 to 63 of the family's 71-position model. From Rfam's summary of the family: Transfer RNA (tRNA) molecules are approximately 80 nucleotides in length. Their secondary structure includes four short double-helical elements and three loops (D, anti-codon, and T loops). The record is from Rfam by way of RNAcentral. Lineage: Eukaryota; Metazoa; Chordata; Mammalia; Rodentia; Heteromyidae.